Podarcis lilfordi (Lilford's wall lizard) is the source of this 74-nucleotide non-coding RNA. The record is from the annotation of a GenBank genome assembly. Lineage: Eukaryota; Metazoa; Chordata; Lepidosauria; Squamata; Lacertidae.
GCGUGGAAAGCUCAGUUGGUGAGAGCGUGGUGGUGAUAACGCCAAGGUCACAGGUUCGAUUCCCGGGUGGGGCA